Molecule: ribosomal RNA, 468 nt
Filed under: uncultured bacterium
Lineage: Bacteria
Description: partial 16S ribosomal RNA
Rfam family: Bacterial small subunit ribosomal RNA
Source: RNAcentral
GACGAACGCUGGCGGCGUGCUUAACACAUGCAAGUCGAACGGAAAGGCCCUGCUUUUGUGGGGUUCUCGAGUGGCGAACGGGUGAGUAACACGUGAGUAACCUGCCCUUGACUUUGGGAUAACUUCAGGAAACUGGGGCGAAUAUCGGAUAGGAGCUCUUGCUGCAUGGUGGGGGUUGGUGAGUUUCGGCCUUUGGGGAUGGUCUCGCGGCUUAUCAGCUUGUUGGUGGGGUAGGGGCUUACCAAGGUUUUGACGGGUAGGCCGCCUGAGAGGGUGACCGGCCACAAUGGUACUGCGAUACGGCCCAGUCUCCUAUGGGCGGCAGUAGUGGAGAAUAUUGCACAAUGGGCGGAAGCGUGAUGCAGCAACGCCGCGUGCGGGAUGACGGCUUUCGGGUGGUAAACCGCUUUCUCCUGAGACGAAGCGUGAGUGACGGUAAUGGGUAAAGAAGCACCGGCUAACUACGUG